Cercocebus atys (sooty mangabey) is the source of this 2372-nucleotide long non-coding RNA. RefSeq lists it as uncharacterized. NCBI's taxonomy places the organism in Eukaryota, Metazoa, Chordata, Mammalia, Primates, Cercopithecidae. The transcript has 3 exons. The record is from RefSeq and is a predicted model, not a curated record.
CAGCCCCAAUCAAUCUUUUGUGCCCUAUGUAAAUCAGACACUGCCUCCUCAAGCUCAUCUAUAAAACUGUCUGCAUUUCACUGUGGAAGCAGUAACCCACUUCUCUGGGACCCUUCUCUCUGCAGCAGAGAGAGCUCAUCUCUUUCACCUAUUAAACUUCUGCUCAGAACCUCACUCUUUGUGUGGUCCAUGCCCUAGUUUUCCAUGGCCGUGAGACAGUGACACCACUUCAGUGUGAACUCUCAUGAACUGAGUCUAGAUCCCCAGUGCUGUCCGUCUCACCUGUCCUCCUCUACACAUAUCUGGGAUAUGUCACGGCUCUUUGAAGAUGUGGCUGUGAACUUCAUCCAGGAGGAGUGGGCUUUGCUGGAUUUUUCCAUGAAGAAUCUGUAGAGAUGUGAUGAGGGAAGCCAUCAGCACCUGUCUUCUAUAGCUGCAGUCCAAGAGGCCAACUGGAACAUCAACAUGAGACACUAAUCCAGCUGACUGGACACAAUUGGAAAAACUGGUUAUUUUACCAAGGCUUUGCCUGGAAUGGUGUGCCUUCCUUCGAGCAAUCAAAUUUGACUUAUGGAGCCAAUAAAGCCCUUGGAAAGCUGGCCUCAGAUUUUGUGUACACAGUCCCUGUACAGGGUUUCUGAUCUGUGGUAAGUAAAGAAUGUCACAUUUUGACAGGCCAGGAGUCCCAAGUUAUCUUGGAACCUCAAGAGGAGAGGAAUUCACCCAACUCAUAGGUAUUCAAUGGUACAAAUCCAUGGCUGGGCUUGCCUUUAAAAAGGUCUUAUCUCAGAUUCCUUCUACGAAACAAAGUUCCAUCAAAACCAAUUUAAAGGGCCUAUGUAACAUAAUUAUUCUUGCUCCACUGUAUGCAAAUAACUAAGCCAAGUAUAAUAAAGAAACUCAGUCCUACUAGCAUGAUUUGUCUUUUAAUGAAAAUAGUAAACUUGAGAGAGAAAAUUAUGCUUCAAAAACGAUAGCACACCUGUUGUUAAAUUCUAGUGUUGCCCAAUGUUUUUCAAAUCUUGCUAUUUUCUAUUUAAAUUAAAUUCUAAUUUUUCUGGCUACAAGUUUCCAAAACAGCUGUGCUUUCUAAAAGCCCUAUAAACUGAAAACUUGAUGUUUCAGCAGGCUCUGCCUCUAAGCCCCCUGACUCUCACAGGAGGAAAUAAAUAGGAAAUCUUAAGCUAAAAAUCAUAAAAAAAUAAGUAACCAAGGGAGAAUUACUCAUCCUAUUCAGUCUCACCCCUACCUCAUCAAAUACUUUUAUCAUCCCUACCUCUGUUUUUAAGUCAAAUAUUAACUUUUUAAUGAAAAUUAUUUACUGUGCCACCCUUGUGGGAAUUGCUUUACUCACUCUACUAUUUGCAGUAGGACUAUAUACUGUAGCACCCUCAGGGUAAAAUAUCAGACACAGAAUCUCAAUUACUAUAGCAUUUUGCUUAAUUAUUAUCCUCAUAGCAGGAAUAAUGGUUACUAGCAGAAAAUAACAAAUGGGCCUUUCCAAACCAGCACCUCUGCUCUCAUUAGGUAAGGAAUGUUGUUUCUAUAUCAGCCAAUCGGACCUAGUAAAAAGCGCUAUAAAAAAAAAGUUACAGAAAAAGCUAAAAAAGCUAAGGAGUACCAAAACAAGCAAAUAGAUUCUUAGUUUGGGAACAAAAUCAUAGCAUGGGUCAUCCCAUUCCUGGGCCCUCUCCUAAUAAUAUGCCUAAUUAUGGGACUACUGUUCUUACCCUGCCUAAUUAAGCUUUUUCAAAGAUUUUUUAAACUGACAGGAUCAUGGCCAUUUCACAGACAACUACCCAAAAACAUCUACAGACAGCACUGCUCCUAUAGUCAACCCGAAACCAGGGAACUCUCCGUCCCCUCAUCAGCAGGAAGUAGCCAGAAAGAACAUGCCGCCCCUCAUCCUUUUUAUAACUGUAAGGUCUGGAUUGAUGGCAGGAGCAUCACCAUCAUGGAUAAGCACCUCAUUUUAAAAUUCACCUUAAUCAAAAACUGCCUAAAUCCAAAGGGCAUCAGCCUAAUGGCUAAGGUCAGCAUGACCAUAAACCACACAUAACAUCUCCAACCAAAAACAUUCCAGACACCUCCCACAGAGACAUGCAACCUCGGGAUAACCCCUGUCCUGCCAGAAAGAUGUCACCCCCAAGAUAACUGCCCCUCUGCCCAGAACAUUCCAACCCCACCAUAAACUUCUCCCUCACACAGAAACAUUCUUCUUCCUCACACAGAAACAUUCUAAGCUUGUAAUAAGCUCCCUCACCCUAAAACCAAUAUAUGCUCUUAGUCUGCUAGGAAAAGUGCUCCUGACUGAAAUCAGCCAGAAGCCUCUCUCAGGUCUUUUCUAUAAUAAACCUGUCUUUGACUAUCAA